RNAcentral lists this ribosomal RNA (409 nucleotides) under Bacillus velezensis. RNAcentral describes it as "bacterial SSU rRNA". It matches the Rfam family "Bacterial small subunit ribosomal RNA", at positions 475 to 882 of the family's 1533-position model. The record is from RNAcentral. Lineage: Bacteria; Bacillati; Bacillota; Bacilli; Caryophanales; Bacillaceae.
GUACCUAACCAGAAAGCCACGGCUAACUACGUGCCAGCAGCCGCGGUAAUACGUAGGUGGCAAGCGUUGUCCGGAAUUAUUGGGCGUAAAGGGCUCGCAGGCGGUUUCUUAAGUCUGAUGUGAAAGCCCCCGGCUCAACCGGGGAGGGUCAUUGGAAACUGGGGAACUUGAGUGCAGAAGAGGAGAGUGGAAUUCCACGUGUAGCGGUGAAAUGCGUAGAGAUGUGGAGGAACACCAGUGGCGAAGGCGACUCUCUGGUCUGUAACUGACGCUGAGGAGCGAAAGCGUGGGGAGCGAACAGGAUUAGAUACCCUGGUAGUCCACGCCGUAAACGAUGAGUGCUAAGUGUUAGGGGGUUUCCGCCCCUUAGUGCUGCAGCUAACGCAUUAAGCACUCCGCCUGGGGAGUA